RNAcentral lists this microRNA precursor (76 nucleotides) under Myotis lucifugus (little brown bat). RNAcentral's name for it is "mir-9193 microRNA precursor family". It matches the Rfam family "mir-9193 microRNA precursor family". The record is from Rfam by way of RNAcentral. Lineage: Eukaryota; Metazoa; Chordata; Mammalia; Chiroptera; Vespertilionidae.
CUUGGGGGAGGAGGGGUGUUCCUCAGCCCAGAUUGUGAGAAGGCGCAAGCCAGGCCGAGGGACCCCUCAGUGCAUG